AUGCAAGAUAUGAGGAAUGGUAGAUUAGAGACGUUAUAGAGGAGAAGAGAAGUUAAUGAAAGAUAAACAGGAAGAAAGUCCACAUCAACAACCAUUCGCGCAACUACCCAAUUCAUUCUCUUUUAACUUCUAUUCACUCAUAAUUCAAUCCAUCUAAUUUAACUCCAAUCAUUCCCACUUUUAUGCCUCCACGGAUAAGUUCGCCGAUUGGUUCCGCUCGGAGAAAUAAGCCGCGGCAACCGUUGCCGUCACCCCACCGCCGGACGAACAACAAGCCGAAGCAUGUCAAGGUCUUGAAGCGCUGCUCAUCGGCGCCUCUGCUUACACGACGAGAAAACGGCGAUGCUGACGGCCAUUAUUGGAAAAGUGGAAGAGGCUCGUUUUUCCGUCCUAAAACGUUUUCCGAUGCCUUUCUGUCUUCCCCUUCUCCCUUUUCCUCCCCGCGGAUACACACUAAGCAGAUAAUAAAGGGGUACGACAAAGAGGCUAAGGUGGUAGUUAAUGUGACCGUUGAGGGAAGUCCAGGGCCAGUUCGAACCAUGGUUAAACUGGGUUCCAGUGUGGACGACACAAUCAAGCUUGUGGUAGAUAAAUACAGAGAAGAAGGAAGGAGCCCCAAUAUCAAUCCUAGUAUGACAUCUUCAUUCGAAUUGCAUCACUCUCAUUUCAGUCUCCAGAGUUUGGAUAAAUCAGAAGUGAUUGCGGAUGUGGGUAGUAGAAGUUUUUAUUUGCGGAAGAAUAGCAGUGCUUCUAUUUUGAGUUCAUUUCAUUCGGGAAGUGCUCCCCAAUUAGUCAGUCGUGCCUCUACUCCAUCCGUACCAAAUCCUCCUCCAUUCUUCAUCCAUUCUUUCUUUGCCCGCAAGAUUAGCAAAAUUGUAAGAAGAGCUCAGCGUCUUUGGAACAUCGUUGUUUGCUCCCAGUGAGGACGCUCACACUCUCUUCAGUCAAUGAUGGGAAAAAGCAACAACUUUUAAUAUGUUGCCUUUCAACCCCUCAUUUUCAGCUUUAAUUGGAUGAAUAUUGGAUGAAUAGCAUUUAACAAAAUAAGCUAGAAAAAGGGAUGAUUGUUUGAGUUAGUGGUGUUGCGAGAAUGGCGUGCAUGGCGUGCAUGGCCUAGAAAUGUAGAGGAAGGAGAAGACGUGCA
Molecule: RNA transcript, 1144 nt
Organism: Vigna angularis (adzuki bean)
Lineage: Eukaryota; Viridiplantae; Streptophyta; Magnoliopsida; Fabales; Fabaceae
Exons: 4
Source: RefSeq, a predicted model, not a curated record